AGUGAACGCUGGCGGUAGGCCUAACACAUGCAAGUCGAACGGCAGCACAGUAAGAGCUUGCUCUUACGGGUGUCGAGUGGCGGACGGGUGAGGUAUACAUCGGAAUCUACUUUUUCGUGGGGGAUAACGUAGGGAAACUUACGCUAAUACCGCAUACGACCUACGGGUGAAAGCAGGGGAUCUUCGGACCUUGCGCGAUUGAAUGAGCCGAUGUCGGAUUAGCUAGUUGGCGGGGUAGAGGCCCACCAAGGCGACGAUCCGUAGCUGGUCUGAGAGGAUGAUUCGCCACACUGGAACUGAGACACGGUCCAGACUCCUACGGGAGGCAGCAGUGGGGAAUAUUGGACGAUGGGCGCAAGCCUGAUCCAGCCAUACCGCGUGGGUGAAGAAGGCCUUCGGGUUGUAAAGCCCUUUUGUUGGGAAAGAAAAGCAGCAGGUUAAUACCCCGCUGUUCUGACGGUACCCAAAGAAUAAGCACCGGCUAACUUCGUG
Molecule: ribosomal RNA, 492 nt
Filed under: uncultured bacterium
Lineage: Bacteria
Description: partial 16S ribosomal RNA
Rfam family: Bacterial small subunit ribosomal RNA
Source: RNAcentral